This 253-nucleotide ribosomal RNA is filed under the name uncultured bacterium. Its description in RNAcentral is "partial 16S ribosomal RNA". It matches the Rfam family "Bacterial small subunit ribosomal RNA", at positions 524 to 776 of the family's 1533-position model. The record is from RNAcentral.
UACGUAGGAUGCAAGCGUUGUCCGGAAUUAUUGGGCGUAAAGAGCGCGCAGGCGGUUUGAUAAGUCAGAUGUGAAAGAGGCCGGCUUAACCGGCAAGGGUCAUUUGAAACUGACAGACUAGAGUACAGCAGAGGAUAGCGGAAUUCCCGGUGUAGUGGUGAAAUGCGUAGAUAUCGGGAGGAACACCAGUGGCGAAGGCGGCUAUCUGGGCUGAAACUGACGCUGAGGCGCGAAGGCUAGGGUAGCAAACAGG